ACCGUGAAAAAACAACAACCAAAACCUCGGUCGCGAAAAGUUUGUUCCGUUUUUUCCUUCAAGGAUGCAGAAAAACAGCGAUGGGACAUUGUGCGGCCUACGGCUUGAGGAAACAGUUCAACAAAAGGAAAAUUGAAGACCCGGCUACCGUCUGGGCCACAAGAAAAAUACGCAUCAAAAACGAUUUCAAACCACGUCCGUAGCAACAUCUUCCUGUUACACCGACGGACUUGUACCCCGGCAGCAGCAUCACCAGAACACCAGAUAUAAUCCUCGACAGGAUUAUAUCCAUAAUCCCGAUCCUUGCUUAAUCAUUCCGGGAGGGCCAGUAGACGACCGACGAUUUUUUGUAAUUUUCGAGCUUCUGAAUGCUCGACGGGAAUGAGCAGGACGGAUAAUGAAAAUUCUGAUUUAAGCUCAAGUUUUGUGUUUAUAAAUAAUAUAGCAUAAUGAAAUACAGAAAAAAAGGUUAAA
This 474-nucleotide long non-coding RNA is filed under the name Aedes aegypti (yellow fever mosquito). RNAcentral's name for it is "lncRNA AAEL021640". The record is from RNAcentral. Lineage: Eukaryota; Metazoa; Arthropoda; Insecta; Diptera; Culicidae.